RNAcentral lists this ribosomal RNA (1501 nucleotides) under uncultured prokaryote. Its description in RNAcentral is "partial 16S ribosomal RNA". It matches the Rfam family "Bacterial small subunit ribosomal RNA". The record is from RNAcentral.
AGAGUUUGAUCCUGGCUCAGAUUGAACGCUGGCGGUAUGCUUAACACAUGCAAGUCGAACGGUAACAUAGCUAGCUUGCUAGCUGAUGACGAGUGGCGGACGGGUGAGUAACGCGUAGGAAUUUACCUAUUGGCGGGGGAUAGCCCAGAGAAAUUUGGAUUAAUACCGCAUAAGCCCUACGGGGAAAGCGGGGGACCACUUGUGGCCUCGCACCGAUAGAUGAGCCUGCGUUAGAUUAGCUAGUUGGUAGGGUAAUGGCCUACCAAGGCGACGAUCUAUAGCUGGUCUGAGAGGAUGAUCAGCCACACUGGGACUGAGACACGGCCCAGACUCCUACGGGAGGCAGCAGUGGGGAAUAUUGGACAAUGGGCGCAAGCCUGAUCCAGCAAUACCGCGUGUAUGAAGAAGGCUCUAGGGUCGUAAAGUACUUUCAGAGGGGAGGAAAUGUUGUAGUUUAAUACCUAACAGCUGUGACGUUACCUACAGAAGAAGCACCGGCUAACUCGUGCCAGCAGCUGUGGUAAUACGGAGGGUGCAAGCGUUAAUCGGAAUUACUGGGCGUAAAGCGCGCGUAGGUGGUUGUGUAAGUGGAAUGUGAAAGUCCUGGGUUUAACCUGGGAAUUGCAUAUUAAACUGCGCAACUAGAGUACAGUAGAGGGGAGUGGAAUUUCAGGUGUAGCGGUGAAAUGCGUAGAGAUCUGAAGGAAUACCGGUGGCGAAGGCGGCCCCCUGGAUUGAUACUGACACUGAGGUGCGAAAGCGUGGGUAGUAAAUAGGAUUAGAUAUCCUGGUAGUCCACGCCGUAAACGAUGUCUACUAGCCGUUGGAAUCUUUAGAGGUUUUAGUGGCGCAGCUAACGCAAUAAGUAGACCGCCUGGGGAGUAUGGCCGCAAGGCUAAAACUCAAAUGAAUUGACGGGGGCCCGCACAAGCGGUGGAGCAUGUGGUUUAAUUCGACGCAACGCGAAGAACCUUACCUACUCUUGACAUUUUCGGAAUUUAGCAGAGAGAUGCUUUGGUGCCUUCGGGAACCGAGUGACAGGUGCUGCAUGGCUGUCGUCAGCUCGUGUUGUGAGAUGUUGGGUUAAGUCCCGUAACGAGCGCAACCCUUGUCCUUAUUGCCAGCACGUAAUGGUGGGAACUCUAGGGAGACUGCCGGUGAUAAACUGGAGGAAGGUGGGGACGACGUCAAGUCAUCAUGGCCCUUAUGGGUAGGGCUACACACGUGCUACAAUGGGCAGUACAGAGGGUCGCGAAGCCGCGAGGUGGAGCCAAUCUCAGAAAGCUGCUCGUAGUCCGGAUUGGAGUCUGCAACUCGACUCCAUGAAGUUGGAAUCGCUAGUAAUCGCGGAUCAGAAUGCCGCGGUGAAUACGUUCUCGGGCCUUGUACACACCGCCCGUCACACCAUGGGAGUAGGCUGUACCAGAAGUAGGUAGACUAACCUUCGGGGGGUCGCUUACCACGGUAUGGUUUAUGACUGGGGUGAAGUCGUAACAAGGUA